UGUAGUAAUACAAGGCAGACGGCUCAGUAACGCGUAGUCAACCUACCCUAUGGACGGGGAUAACCUCGGGAAACUGAGAAUAAUACCCGAUAGAACAUUAUGCCUGGAAUGGUUUAUGUUUCAAAUAAUUUAUUGCCGUAGGAUGGGACUGCGGCCUAUCAGUUUGUUGGUGAGGUAAUGGCCCACCAAGACUAUUACAGGUACGGGCUCUGAGAGGAGUAGCCCGGAGAUGGGUACUGAGACACGGACCCAGGCCCUAUGGGGCGCAGCAGGCGAGAAAACUUUGCAAUGUGCGAAAGCACGACAAGGUUAAUCCGAGUGGUUUCUGCUAAAGGAACCUUUUGUCAGUCCUAGAAACACUGAUGAAUAAGGGGUGGGCAAGUUCUGGUGUCAGCCGCCGCGGUAAAACCAGCACCUCAAGUGGUCAGGAUGAUUAUUGGGCCUAAAGCAUCCGUAGCCUGCCUUGUUAGUUUUCGGUUAAAUCCAUACGCUCAACGUAUGGGCUGCCGGGAAUACUGCAAAGCUAGGGAGUGGGAGAGGUAGACGGUACUCGGUAGGAAGGGGUAAAAUCCUUUGAUCUAUUGAUGACCACCUGUGGCGAAGGCGGUCUACCAGAACACGUCCGACGGUGAGGGAUGAAAGCUGGGGGAGCAAACCGGAUUAGAUACCCGGGUAGUCCCAGCUGUAAACUAUGCAAACUCAGUGAUGCAUUGGCUUGAUGCCAAUGCAGUGCUGCAGGGAAGCCGUUAAGUUUGCCGCCUGGGAAGUACGUACGCAAGUAUGAAACUUAAAGGAAUUGGCGGGGGAGCACCACAAGGGGUGAAGCCUGCGGUUCAAUUGGA
Molecule: ribosomal RNA, 842 nt
Filed under: uncultured archaeon
Lineage: Archaea
Description: bacterial SSU rRNA
Rfam family: Archaeal small subunit ribosomal RNA
Source: RNAcentral